This 274-nucleotide unclassified non-coding RNA is filed under the name Hevea brasiliensis (rubber tree). Lineage: Eukaryota; Viridiplantae; Streptophyta; Magnoliopsida; Malpighiales; Euphorbiaceae. The record is from RNAcentral.
AUUACUCUAUAUUUUCUUUUGGUUACCUUUCCUUCAUUCAAUGCCUUUCUAGCCGCUCCCUGGCACAACCGCCAUGAAGAUCAACCGCCUUUGCAUCAUCUUGCCAACUGACUUGGAUGAACUCACACCAUAUGACCACCCCAAGGUCCCUCCACGUCCACCUCCACCUGCCAAAGCAAAGGUGAAAAAACACCACCACCAUGGAUGCGGACGUCAAGUUCUAGCUUUCUUUGGGGAUUCACUAAGCCGAUUGUAUGACUCGAAAUGGGUUGGU